RNAcentral lists this ribosomal RNA (253 nucleotides) under uncultured bacterium. RNAcentral describes it as "partial 16S ribosomal RNA". It matches the Rfam family "Bacterial small subunit ribosomal RNA", at positions 524 to 776 of the family's 1533-position model. The record is from RNAcentral.
UACAGAGGGGGCAAGCGUUGUUCGGAAUUACUGGGCGUAAAGGGCGCGUAGGCGGCCUUCUAAGUCAGACGUGAAAUCCCUCGGCUCAACCGGGGAACUGCGUCUGAGACUGGAAGGCUUGAAUCCGGGAGAGGGAUGUGGAAUUCCAGGUGUAGCGGUGAAAUGCGUAGAUAUCUGGAGGAACACCGGUGGCGAAGGCGGCAUCCUGGACCAAUUCUGACGCUGAGGAGCGAAAGCCAGGGGAGCAAACGGG